Molecule: microRNA precursor, 139 nt
Filed under: Callithrix jacchus (white-tufted-ear marmoset)
Lineage: Eukaryota; Metazoa; Chordata; Mammalia; Primates; Cebidae
Description: microRNA cja-mir-9910 precursor
Source: miRBase by way of RNAcentral
GAAAAUGGAUGGGACCUUAGGGGGCAAAGGCAGGAAGAGGCUGAGCUGUCCUUAGCCUGCAGCCAGAGCCCUGGGCAUAGGGACCGUGGAGCACCUACCUCAGCUACCUUUUUGCCUCCGGGGUGGCCUGUCUGCUUUC